Molecule: ribosomal RNA, 484 nt
Filed under: uncultured bacterium
Lineage: Bacteria
Description: partial 16S ribosomal RNA
Rfam family: Bacterial small subunit ribosomal RNA
Source: RNAcentral
AUUGAACGCUGGCGGCAUGCUUUACACAUGCAAGUCGAACGGCAGCACGGGCUUCGGCCUGGUGGAGAGUGGCGAACGGGCGAGUGAUAUAUCGGAACGUACCCAGACGCGGGGGAUAACGUAGCGACAGUUACGCUAAUACCCCAUAAGAUCUAUGGAUGAAAGCAGGGGACCGGAAGGCCUUCUGCUCCUGGAGCAGCCGAUAUCUGAUUAGCUAGUUGGUGAGGUAAAGGCUCACCAAGGCGACGAUCAGUAGCUGGUCUGAGAGGACGACCAGCCACACUGGAACUGAGACACGGUCCAGACUCCUACGGGAGGCAGCAGUGGGGAAUUUUGGACAAUGGGCGCAAGCCUGAUCCAGCAAUGCCGCGUGAGUGAAGAAGGCCUUCGGGUUGUAAAGCUCUUUUGUCAGGGAAGAAACGGUAGAGGCUAAUAUCCUUUGCUAAUGACGGUACCUGAAGAAUAAGCACCGGCUAACUACGUG